RNAcentral lists this long non-coding RNA (668 nucleotides) under Pan troglodytes (chimpanzee). RNAcentral describes it as "long non-coding RNA NONPTRT013976". The record is from RNAcentral. Lineage: Eukaryota; Metazoa; Chordata; Mammalia; Primates; Hominidae.
CAUCCCCAAAAAAUUAAAAACUUUAUAUAGUAAGAAAGAAAUGAAUAAAAAUAAAUACAUAAAAUAAAAUAAAUACAGUUUUAAAUGAGGCCAAAUCUUCCAUGAACCACGAUUGGGAUGUAAAUUACUUUUCACUGUGACCACAGUGAUGGCGAACUACAUCACUCACUAAGGGUGGAGAGGGACUUCUCCUCCUCAUCUUAUUAGAAUAACAAAUGACCACCCACCUAAAGGCUGCACCAGCCCACUCCGUGCCCACACUGCCCUGCGUUUCGGCAACAUGUGGCAGUUCUGCAGCAAAACCUUCAAUUCAGUCUCUCAGAUUUAUCACAAGAACCUCACAUGCCCUCAAGUGGCAACAAGCUAAAAUUACAAUUGGGCAGUUCAGGGUUGUAGACUUCCAGGAAAUGCAGAAAUCCUUAAGACAAUUUUAAAAAAUGAAGCAUGAAAAAAGCCAUCAGGAAAGAAUGAAGUCAAAUUUAUUCAGAAGAAAAAAGUGAAUACAACUUCAAACGCUUUCAGAGGUCACAGCACAUGGAACACACGUAAAUAACCUUUGUUUUCCACUAAGCACAAACUGGACUUCUAUUAGAAUAAAGAAAAUUUAAGCAAGAAACCAGAUUUAAACAAGAAACAGUGAUUGGAAAUAUUCAAGAAUAAAGUAGGUA